RNAcentral lists this long non-coding RNA (211 nucleotides) under Vigna radiata. RNAcentral describes it as "long non-coding RNA (VRAD_LNC010676)". Lineage: Eukaryota; Viridiplantae; Streptophyta; Magnoliopsida; Fabales; Fabaceae. The record is from RNAcentral.
GAAGAAAAUCAACAUGAAUGAAGAUGAAAACAAACCGAACGAAAUCUGGAUUAUCGAUGCUCCUCCAUGUCAAAGAUCAACAACAAUGAAACCUAAAAAGAAAAAUGAGAAAGAGACAAAUGAAGAAAAAAGAAAGAAAAAAAAGAAAAAAGAAAGGAAAAAAAAUGAGACGGAAAUGGAGAAGAGAGAAAUCGCGAAACAUGGGUGGGGG